AGUCUCAGUUCGGAUUGCAGGCUGCAACUCGCCUGCAUGAAGCUGGAAUUGCUAGUAAUCGCGGAUCAGCAAGCCGCGGUGAAUACGUUCCCGGGCCUUGUACACACCGCCCGUCACACCAUGAGAGUCGGGAACACCCGAAGUCCGUAGUCUAACCACAAGGGGGGCGCGGCCGAAGGUGGGUCCGGUAAUUGGGGUGAAGUCGUAACAAGGUACC
This 217-nucleotide ribosomal RNA is filed under the name uncultured bacterium. RNAcentral describes it as "partial 16S ribosomal RNA". It matches the Rfam family "Bacterial small subunit ribosomal RNA", at positions 1284 to 1500 of the family's 1533-position model. The record is from RNAcentral.